Esox lucius (northern pike) is the source of this 1659-nucleotide long non-coding RNA. The record is from Ensembl. NCBI's taxonomy places the organism in Eukaryota, Metazoa, Chordata, Actinopteri, Esociformes, Esocidae.
AUCUGGUUUUGUUCACGUUUUCUUGCAGAUACCUUGGCCAGAGCAUAACCGGUUAUCUUCACCCAAGAGACCUACUGUUAGUCAAUCGUUUUGGUUUUAAAGGUAAAUGCAUUGUUAGUCACAAUGUCUAGUUACUGGACCAAAAGGAAAAUAAUAUUGAAAAGAGUUGAGAGGGACAAACAGGACAUUACUUGAAUCACUACAUGCUACAGAAGUUGCAUCGAUUCCAGAAAACCAGGAACAUUUUGAGCCAUCUGAAGACUUCAGAGCUGAACCAGGUUUCUCCCCAGUAAUCCAGAAUCCACUUCACAGAGCCAAGAGUUUGAGUACAAGGCACUUGACUUUCUGGAUAAAAGGUGUCGAGCUCGUCAAGUACUAAGCUUUACACCACCAGCAGCAAAUUUACCAUGGCAGCAUAUGGGUGAAAACGCUGGAGGAGAAAGUCAUCGCUUUGUUAUUGGCCCUUGGACGCCCCUGGCAUCUCGUGUACAGCACAAAGUUUUCAGCUAUGAAGAUUUCCAGAGACUCCAGAAUGAAAACCAAGCUCUGAGGGAGGAGAACCAAGCCCUGAGGGAAUGUAAUGCACAAGGAGCUUCGGAUGACAGCGGCUCACUUCAAGAGCAGGUGAAGCAAGUAGGGACAAUGUUGAAGACAUUUGCUCUCACUGGGCAAUCAGUGCGUUACCUGAAAGGAGCAUCUGACCGUGAAGGCAGAAAAAGCCGCACAGCUGAGAAGGACCCACAGCCGACCCCUUAAACCUAGGCUGACUACUGACACCCCAGCAUCACUGAACUGGAACACUUUCUUUAUCCUGCAGUCAGUAACAUCAAGAAGCCAGAAGUACCAGACUACACUCACCAAAUCCACCCUGUUUUUUUUUUUUUGUAUUUUAACUUUAGUAUUGGCUUAUUUCAUUCCGUCUUAACGAUUCUAUUAUAGUUUGUAAAUCCUAUUUCAUACCUGUUACUUGAUAUUGCACAUUAACUAGUACCAAAGUUCUACUUUCAUUUCAUCACUGUGCUUAACUCUUAUUCUAUUAAUAAUAGCUUGGAAAUACUAUUUCGUACCUCUGAUACUUGAUAUUGCACAUUACCUGGUACCAAAUAUUCUACUUACUCUGUUUUUAACAUCAGCAUUUUUCGUUCCAUCACAGUGCUUAACUGUUAUUCUAUUGUUAAAUAUAGCUUGUAAAUCCUUGUGCCACAGGUCAGCAUUGCAGUUAUAAUGGUCUGUUCUACUACUGUUUUUACCUCCGUAUUUUUAUAUAAAUAUAUAUGUCAAGUUUUGCUUAUCACAGAUACAAGAGACACAGAUCUUAUUGCAGCACGGUGUAAAUCUUGUGCUCCAGGUCAUCAAUGCCGUUAUAAUGGUCUAUUCUACUCUAGAGCUUUACUCUAAAUUAUUACCACUUUUCCUAUUGUUAGAAAUGGCUUGAAAAUGUGAUGUUAUACCACAAUUUAUUUGGUAUCCUGCACAUUCUUCGGUACCAAAUAUCCUCAUUACUAAUGUUUACUGGUAAUUAUUUUCAUCCCAGAGCUGACCUCUUUAUAUUAUUAACAAUUAUUGUGUUUGUGUUAUAAUUUGCUUGUAUGGCUGUUUUUUUUUAACCAACAUUUUAUUGGAAACCUGCAUGUUCUGAAGUGUGUAUGUAUAUUCUUU